UGAACGCUGGCGGUCGGCCUAACACAUGCAAGUCGAACGGCAGCACAGUAAGAGCUUGCUCUUACGGGUGGCGAGUGGCGGACGGGUGAGGAAUACAUCGGAAUCUACUUUUUCGUGGGGGAUAACGUAGGGAAACUUACGCUAAUACCGCAUACGACCUACGGGUGAAAGCAGGGGAUCUUCGGACCUUGCGCGAUUGAAUGAGCCGAUGUCGGAUUAGCUAGUUGGCGGGGUAAAGGCCCACCAAGGCGACGAUCCGUAGCUGGUCUGAGAGGAUGAUCAGCCACACUGGAACUGAGACACGGUCCAGACUCCUACGGGAGGCAGCAGUGGGGAAUAUUGGACAAUGGGCGCAAGCCUGAUCCAGCCAUACCGCGUGGGUGAAGAAGGCCUUCGGGUUGUAAAGCCCUUUUGUUGGGAAAGAAAAGCAGCAGGUUAAUACCCCGCUGUUCUGACGGUACCCAAAGAAUAAGCACCGGCUAACUUCGUG
This 490-nucleotide ribosomal RNA is filed under the name uncultured bacterium. RNAcentral's name for it is "partial 16S ribosomal RNA". It matches the Rfam family "Bacterial small subunit ribosomal RNA", at positions 30 to 507 of the family's 1533-position model. The record is from RNAcentral.